Molecule: ribosomal RNA, 645 nt
Filed under: Escherichia coli
Lineage: Bacteria; Pseudomonadati; Pseudomonadota; Gammaproteobacteria; Enterobacterales; Enterobacteriaceae
Description: partial 23S ribosomal RNA
Rfam family: Bacterial large subunit ribosomal RNA
Source: RNAcentral
CUGGAGGUAUCAGAAGUGCGAAUGCUGACAUAAGUAACGAUAAAGCGGGUGAAAAGCCCGCUCGCCGGAAGACCAAGGGUUCCUGUCCAACGUUAAUCGGGGCAGGGUGAGUCGACCCCUAAGGCGAGGCCGAAAGGCGUAGUCGAUGGGAAACAGGUUAAUAUUCCUGUACUUGGUGUUACUGCGAAGGGGGGACGGAGAAGGCUAUGUUGGCCGGGCGACGGUUGUCCCGGUUUAAGCGUGUAGGCUGGUUUUCCAGGCAAAUCCGGAAAAUCAAGGCUGAGGCGUGAUGACGAGGCACUACGGUGCUGAAGCAACAAAUGCCCUGCUUCCAGGAAAAGCCUCUAAGCAUCAGGUAACAUCAAAUCGUACCCCAAACCGACACAGGUGGUCAGGUAGAGAAUACCAAGGCGCUUGAGAGAACUCGGGUGAAGGAACUAGGCAAAAUGGUGCCGUAACUUCGGGAGAAGGCACGCUGAUAUGUAGGUGAAGCGACUUGCUCGUGGAGCUGAAAUCAGUCGAAGAUACCAGCUGGCUGCAACUGUUUAUUAAAAACACAGCACUGUGCAAACACGAAAGUGGACGUAUACGGUGUGACGCCUGCCCGGUGCCGGAAGGUUAAUUGAUGGGGUCAGCGCAAGCGAA